AAUCGCUAGCCUGAUCCAGUGCAUCGGA
RNAcentral lists this small RNA (28 nucleotides) under Bombyx mori (domestic silkworm). Its description in RNAcentral is "ovarian small RNA-10791". The record is from RNAcentral. Lineage: Eukaryota; Metazoa; Arthropoda; Insecta; Lepidoptera; Bombycidae.